Notechis scutatus (mainland tiger snake) is the source of this 149-nucleotide non-coding RNA. Lineage: Eukaryota; Metazoa; Chordata; Lepidosauria; Squamata; Elapidae. The record is from RefSeq and is a predicted model, not a curated record.
AAAAAUGAUAAGCAGACACAUACAUACAGAUCAAAAUGGUUUUCUUCCAACAAGACAACUUAAAAAUAAUACACAGACAGUACUAGAUAUCCUGGAAUACUCCAAGGCACAUCCAGAAAAACAGGCUACACUAGUUUUUCUGGAUGCUC